CGCACACACCCACCCACCUAACCAAAUAUAUCCAUCAUAUAACAAUAGAGAGGGAGAGAAAGAUCAUCCAUUCAUCGACUACCAUGGCCAUUUCUCUGCUGCCUUACACCGCCUCGGCUCUGCUUGCCAUCGUCAUCGCCGUCGCCAUCGCUGUCGCCCAUGCAGUUGUUCGAUCGGACCAAGAGCCUGGGCCCAGCAUUGAAGCCAUCAACGCCACAUGCGCGACUGCUACGUACAAAUUUGAGUGCACCCAUCUGCUACUAAACAACCUGGAUGUCAGGACGCCUCAAGUGAAGGACGUGAUCGCAAUGUCAGUCCAAGUCGUCGCCAAGAAGGCGGCGGAGGCGGCCGCAUUCGCCAAGGCCAUCAAGAAACCCUCCAAGUGAGUCACCGACUGCCUCGACGACCUCGCCAUACUAUCCAAGCACAUCAAGACGCUCCCGGCGACGCUCGAAACUGCCAACGACGCGGGCUUCUUUGAGCAAUUUGACACAAAGAGAAAAUGUCACGGAGAUUGUUGCCCGGACAACUUCUCGGGCGAGGAAUGCAACGCAAAGAGCCAAAUCGGUGGGGUGUUUGGCGCUCUUCGUGUCACUGAUGACCUGUUGAUGAGGAGGGCGUAUUUUAGGAAGCAGCAGCUUGACAACAAAACAACAUCACCUAACUCUAACUGAAGAGGACAGCCGGUGUGAUUUGCUCUUACAUUGAUAUCGCAUGCGUAUGAAUAAUGGUCCAAUGGAAUUGGGAGCGGAGUAAGAAGCUCAUGUUGCCUUUAUGCAUGUAAUAAUCAUGCCUGCCUGCAUGGCCUGCUAGCUGUUGGUCCAAUGCCUGGCUGCCUGCCUGAACUGGCGUCAAUUUCCAGUUUGUUUUUGUAAUAUAUAAUAACUCUUCUGUAUUGUGCAUUACAUUUGCUGCCAUAACGUCUCCCCCCCCCCCCGUCAUACGCUGUCGGUCACUUCAAGGCUGACCGCGAGGAAGCACCGAAGCAGAAGGCGCUCAUUGCCCAGCAAGGAGAUGAUGGUGACAUGAUGUUGAUGUGUAAACUGGUGGACGAGGAGGAUCCAAAUUCUCAAGCGUUGACUAAAGAAAAUCAAGAAGGAAAAAAUAGAAUGGGCCAGCCUAGUUUGGACUGCUGCAGGCGCCCGUUUGCAAAUUGCAGUGUAAUGGGCGCCUGCAGCGCCAAAUAGGAAAUGCCCACAUAGCAAGGGUUGGAGGAAAAAAACAAUUAAGAUAAUCUAGCCAGCAAGCUUGUCGUCUAUCUAUACUUCUAUAUUAGGUAGGGAGAACAAGUCGAUGGAUUCAUGGCCACAACUAUUAUUGUGAUUGUUAUGUGGCCACAACUAAAUUAGGUAGCUCCUUCUCAACUGCCUGCGCUGAAAUUGGCCAAGCUACUAAAAAUAGGCGUCCAAAAGCAAGGAAGCAUGCAUGCGGUGCUAUCUAUCUAUGUAUCUGGUGUAUGUGUAUGCCUAUAUAAGAAGGGGAACACCAGCUAGCUAAUCUGCUCUCUCGCUGCAAGUGCGCACCCACCCACCCACCUGACCAAAUAUAUCCAUCAUAUAACAAUAGAGAGGGAGAGAAAGAUCAUCCAUUCAUCGACUACCAUGGCCAUUUCUCUGCUGCCUUACACCACCUCGGCUCUGCUUGCCAUCGUCAUCGCCGUCGCCAUCGCUAUCGCCCCUGCAGUUGUUCGAUCGGACCAAGAGCCUGGGCCCAGCAUUGAAGCCAUCAACGCCACAUGCGCGACUGCUACGUACAAAUUUGAGUGCACCCAUCUGCUACUAAACAACCUGGAUGUCAGGACGCCUCAAGUGAAGGAUGUGAUCGCAAUGUCAGUCCAAGUCGUCGCCAAGAAGGCGGCGGAGGCGGCCGCAUUCGCCAAGGCCAUCAAGAAACCCUCCAAGUGCGUCACCGACUGCCUCGAUGACCUCGCCGUACUAUCCAAGCACAUCAAGACGCUCCUGGCGACGCUCGAAACCGCCAACGACGCGGGCUUCUUUGAGCAAUUUGACACAAAGAGAAAAUGUUACGGAGAUUGUUGCUCGGACAACUCCUCGAUCGAGGAAUGCAAUGCACAGAGCCAAAUCGGUGGGGUGUUUGGCGCUCUUCGUGUAACUGAUGACCUGUUGACGAGGAGGGCGUAUUUUAGGAAGCAGCAGCUUGACAACAAAACAACAUCACCUAACUCUAACUGAAGAGGACAGCCGGUGUGAUUUGCUCUUACAUUGAUAUCGCAUGCGUAUGAAUAAUGGUCCAAUGGAAUUGGGAGCGGAGUAGGAAGCUCAUGUUGCCUUUAUGCAUGUAAUAAUCAUGCCUGCCUGCAUGGC
Molecule: long non-coding RNA, 2324 nt
Filed under: Triticum aestivum (bread wheat)
Lineage: Eukaryota; Viridiplantae; Streptophyta; Magnoliopsida; Poales; Poaceae
Description: long non-coding RNA (TAES_LNC012263)
Source: RNAcentral